CCUCACUCGCGCGUUAGGAGGCUCGGGUCGUUGUGGUGCGCCGUCUUCCCGCUUGCGUCAGGGACCUGCCCGACUCAGUGGCCACCAUGGCAUCAGAUGAAGGCAAGCUUUUUGUUGGAGGGCUGAGUUUUGACACCAAUGAGCAGUCGCUGGAGCAGGUCUUCUCAAAGUACGGACAGAUCUCUGAAGUGGUGGUUGUGAAAGACAGGGAGACCCAGAGAUCUCGGGGAUUUGGGUUUGUCACCUUUGAGAACAUUGACGACGCUAAGGAUGCCAUGAUGGCCAUGAAUGGGAAGGUGAGGAUCAGGGUGCUGAGCGGGAGUCCCGUCCUGAGGAUGGGGCACCCACCCGCUAACCUGUUCUGCCCUCUGGUCUCCAGUCUGUAGAUGGACGGCAGAUCCGAGUAGACCAGGCAGGCAAGUCGUCAGACAACCGAUCCCGUGGGUACCGUGGUGGCUCGGCCGGGGGCCGGGGCUUCUUCCGCGGGGGUCGAGGACGGGGCCGUGGGUUCUCUAGAGGAGGAGGGGACCGAGGCUAUGGGGGGAACCGGUUCGAGUCCAGGAGUGGGGGCUACGGAGGCUCCAGAGACUACUAUAGCAGCCGGAGUCAGAGUGGUGGCUACAGUGACCGGAGCUCGGGCGGGUCCUAUAGAGACAGUUACGACAGUUACGCUACACACAACGAGUAAAAACCCUUCCUGCUCAAGAUCGUCCUUCCAAUGGCUGUGUGUUUAAAGAUUGUGGGAGCUUCGCUGAACGUUAAUGUGUAGUAAACGCACCUCCUUGUAUUCCCACUUU
Molecule: small RNA, 797 nt
Filed under: Pongo abelii (Sumatran orangutan)
Lineage: Eukaryota; Metazoa; Chordata; Mammalia; Primates; Hominidae
Description: retained intron
Source: RNAcentral